GCAAACUUGGUCAUUUAGAGGAAGUAAAAGUCGUAACAAGGUUUCCGUAGGUGAACCUGCGGAAGGAUCAUUACUGGGUUAACCAUUUGGCUUCGGCCAUCUCACCCACCCUCUGUCAUCAGUAUUCUUUACUUCGGUCGCAGGCAGUGGCUCGUCUACUGUCACGGCCGGUCUUCAAACUCCAACGUAUUUUAAAAUGUCUGAAGAAAAAGAAAAAUCGAAUCAAAACUUUCAACAACGGAUCUCUUGGUUCUGGCAUCGAUGAAGAACGCAGC
Molecule: unclassified non-coding RNA, 275 nt
Filed under: uncultured fungus
Lineage: Eukaryota; Fungi
Description: partial contains small subunit ribosomal RNA, internal transcribed spacer 1, and 5.8S ribosomal RNA
Rfam family: Eukaryotic small subunit ribosomal RNA (bases 1-73)
Source: RNAcentral